UUUUCUUGUCCCUCCACUUUUGGCUUCAGACUUAGCUUUUUUUUUUUUUUUUUAAAUCCACUUUUUGGUGUCAGCUCAACUAAAUUGACAAUUAUCCCAGAAAGGGUGAGGCUAAUUGUCCUAAUUAAUACAAGAGGGCCCAGGUGGGGAUUGUUGGAGCUCAAGACCAGUCAGGUGGUGUGGGCAAAAAGCCCUCCAACGGUUGAGACAUGCUGUAUCAUAAUGGAGAAGCUGGUAAUACUGAAGUCUGUAAUGCUCUUGUGGGAACUAGGGGGCUUGAUACAUCCCUUGCAUCCUGCAUUUACUCUGACCACAGUCCCUCCCUGUUCUCACGAGUGGAGCUCUGCCCUGCUUCCCUUCCUGUUGAUUCCCAGUCAGCUACAUGAUAAUUCGAGCCAUGGGAGAUGAUACCAUUCAACAGAAGCAGUGAGGCUGUGAAGAUCAAAGCAUUAUGAACCUUGAAAAGAAUUGGGAGAAGCUUAUAUGCUACAGUAACUUGUGAAGGGUAUAAGCGAAGACCUCGAUCUGUAUUCCAAGAGAUGUUCAGAGAAUAUCAGCUUCAGAGCUGCUUCGCAAAAAAACUGCGUCUUCAGAGGAAGAAUUGUUUGGGCAAGGCCUCGUGAAAGCUGCAUGCUGUCACUGUUCCUGUUCCUUGGGAACAUAAACAGGAUCUAGGGACAGCUUGUGCAAGAAAACAGUUGGAAUAGGGAAUAUCAUGGUUUUCAGCAGCCAACUUGAUUACCAUCAUCAUCCCCGCGUAGGAGGAAAGCUUCAAGAGGUAUUUAGAAGGAUGCUGGGACCCACCUGGCUAUAGCACAACCAUUGGCUGAACUGCACUUUGGGAGUCCAGGGCAGGUCUUAAGUGCAGUUAUAAAGAGACUAACUCUUCAGUGGGUUGAGAAGUUCAGUUACUAAUGUGCUUUCACAGCUGGGCUUCUCAAGUACUCCUUGCUUAUUCUGUUAGCAGUAGGAAUAAGUGAGAGGGGUGGGCUAUGGUAAUAAGGGAUCCAAUGCCUUUAACAGUUAAAAGGGGCCUUGUGGUGGAGUUGCAUGCAGCACCUAUUUUGGAGGGACCACUAGGGUUGAUUAUGCAUCACAGCUUUUGUUUGAGUGUCUCUAAUUUUCUGAAACCUGGAUUUCAGGGAGCAUUGGUCUUAG
Molecule: long non-coding RNA, 1158 nt
Filed under: Anser brachyrhynchus (Pink-footed goose)
Lineage: Eukaryota; Metazoa; Chordata; Aves; Anseriformes; Anatidae
Description: lncRNA (ENSABRG00000009815.1)
Source: RNAcentral